RNAcentral lists this ribosomal RNA (468 nucleotides) under uncultured bacterium. RNAcentral describes it as "partial 16S ribosomal RNA". It matches the Rfam family "Bacterial small subunit ribosomal RNA", at positions 28 to 507 of the family's 1533-position model. The record is from RNAcentral.
GACGAACGCUGGCGGCGUGCUUAACACAUGCCAGUCGAACGGAAAGGCCCUGCUUUUGUGGGGUGCUCGAGUGACGAACGGGUGAGUAACACGUGAGUAACCUGCCCUUGACUUUGGGAUAACUUCAGGAAACUGGGGCUAAUACCGGAUAGGAGCUCCUGCUGCAUGGUGGGGGUUGGAAAGUUUCGGCGGUUGGGGAUGGACUCGCGGCUUAUCAGCUUGUUGGUGGGGUAGUGGCUUACCAAGGCUUUGACGGGUAGCCGGCCUGAGAGGGUGACCGGCCACAUUGGGACGGAGAUACGGCCCAGACUCCUACGGGGGGCAGCAGUGGGGAAUAUUGCACAAUGGGCGGAAGCCUGAUGCAGCAACGCCGCGUGCGGGAUGACGGCCUUCGGGUUGUAAACCGCUUUCGCCUGUGACGAAGCGUGAGUGACGGUAAUGGGUAAAGAAGCACCGGCUAACUACGUG